UGGGCGUAAAGAGCUCGUAGGUGGUUUGUCGCGUUGUUCGUGAAAUCUCACGGCUUAACUGUGAGCGUGCGGGCGAUACGGGCAGACUUGAGUACUGCAGGGGAGACUGGAAUUCCUGGUGUAGCGGUGGAAUGCGCAGAUAUCAGGAGGAACACCGGUGGCGAAGGCGGGUCUCUGGGCAGUAACUGACGCUGAGGAGCGAAAGCGUGGGGAGCGAACAGGAUUAGAUACCCUGGUAGUCCACGCCGUAAACGGUGGGUACUAGGUGUGGGUUUCCUUCCUUGGGAUCCGUGCCGUAGCUAACGCAUUAAGUACCCCGCCUGGGGAGUACGGCCGCAAGGGCUAAAACUCAAAGAAAUUGACGGGGGCCCGCACAAGCGGCGGAGCAUGUGGAUUAAUUCGAUGCAACGCGAAGAACCUUACCUGGGUUUGACAUGCACAGGACGCCGGCAGAGAUGUCGGUUCCCUUGUGGCCUGUGUGCAGGUGGUGCAUGGCUGUCGUCAGCUCGUGUCGUGAGAUGUUGGGUUAAGUCCCGCAACGAGCGCAACCCUUGUCUCAUGUUGCCAGCGGGUAAUGCCGGGGACUCGUGAGAGACUGCCAGGGUCAACUCGGAGGAAGGUGGGGAUGACGUCAAGUCACCAUGCCCCUUAUGUCCAGGGCUUCACACAUGCUACAAUGGCCGGUACAAAGGGCUGCGAUGCCGCGAGGUUAAGCGAAUCCUUUUAAAGCCGGUCUCAGUUCGGAUCGGGGUCUGCAACUCGACCCCGUGAAGUCGGAGUCGCUAGUAAUCGCAGAUCAGCAACGCUGCGGU
This 812-nucleotide ribosomal RNA is filed under the name uncultured Mycobacterium sp. RNAcentral's name for it is "bacterial SSU rRNA". It matches the Rfam family "Bacterial small subunit ribosomal RNA", at positions 555 to 1363 of the family's 1533-position model. Lineage: Bacteria; Bacillati; Actinomycetota; Actinomycetes; Mycobacteriales; Mycobacteriaceae. The record is from RNAcentral.